This 1069-nucleotide long non-coding RNA is filed under the name Calidris pugnax (ruff). Its description in RNAcentral is "lncRNA (ENSCPUG00000016685.1)". Lineage: Eukaryota; Metazoa; Chordata; Aves; Charadriiformes; Scolopacidae. The record is from RNAcentral.
UUUUUGUGUUCACAAUAGUUAGAUUAAUAUUAAUUUGCUGGCAUCCAGCAAGCUGAUUAGUUUUCCUCUGAUAUGGCUCAACUUUGUAAUUACAGGAACUGUCUCCUCCUGGUUUGUGCCUGGGGUAAGAUUCUCAGAGGCGUCCUGACAUCACCGUGACCAUGAUUUCACCAGGCUGACACUCUGCAAGGUUGUCAUAAUCUGAAAUCUCUGCUCCUGGAAAGAGAAUUCUCUGUUUGAGAUGAAUAAUAGGUUGAAUAUGGUAUGUGACAGCUCUGUAGUCUCUGAAGAUAUAACAUGAACAAAUAUAUUCUGGAAAACUGGUGUUAGAAUGCUACUGAGGAUUUAGAAGGAUCUCGACUACCAGACAGGGAAUCAUUCAGAAGACUUUGAUCUAGGAUGACACUUCACUCCUACAAACCUGCCAGCAAGUCAUGGCAGUCUCCCCCUGAGUCAAGCUCCCGGCUUGCUCCAGUGCUGCCUGUCUCUUCAGCAUCCUGCGUAACCUCAUCAGUGUCCACCCGUGAGUCACGCCGUAAAGCACACACCAAGGUCGUGGCAGCAGGUCAGCUCUUUCUGCGCAAAUUGGGCCCUGUGCAAUUUCCUUCACCGAAGCCUUUGCCUUCAGCAGAACUGACCGGCACCGCGUCCUCGGAGGAAGGGAGCGGCAGGAGGACAGGAGGAGACCAUGCUGGUGUGGAGUCCAGGCUGCUGGUGAGUCUCCCCAUCACACAGCAGUAAUUAACAGAGCAGAGGAAAGCCAGCAUCCAGCCGCACAGGGCUGCUGCCGUGCUCAGGGUGGGUGAUGGGAUGCCAGGACACUGUCUCCAGCCUGAGGGAAGGAUGUUGUUAUCCCCUGCAGAGCAGGCUGGGAUCUAAGGGGGGUGGAGUCCCAGGAAGCCAGGAACAUUGCAUGAUAGUGCUGGACUUGGAGGACACAUCUUCUGGAGACCUGGAUGAAGUGGAAGCCUAUAGCACUUCCUUCUUCCCACGAGCAGAUGGGUGUUUGCCUGCUCAGUGCCUGGCUGUGUGUGUGCAGGUGAAGCCAUGCAUCUGGGUUUGAGAAGAC